Molecule: long non-coding RNA, 612 nt
Organism: Balaenoptera acutorostrata (minke whale)
Lineage: Eukaryota; Metazoa; Chordata; Mammalia; Artiodactyla; Balaenopteridae
Exons: 2
Source: RefSeq, a predicted model, not a curated record
GGGGUUUGGGGGGCACCGAGCUGGAGCCAGCUACCACCCCGGGCACAGGACCGUUUAGAGGUGAGCUCCCACGGGAACUCCGAGGCUUCCAGACGGUACCCGCUGGUUGCUGGGUUUUGUUUUCUGACAUAAGUCGUAGAACAUGAGCCGUACCCUUAGCACCUUGCUGGUAAAUCAAAGGUGUGUGUAGUCCUGGUUUAAGAAUAACAUGUAUUGACUGCAAGAAUAUAAAAUCCUUCUCCGCCUCAUAAACAAGGCUCCAUUUCAAACGCUUUUCUUCCUGCACACCUUUCAGAACCAGUUUGGAUCAACCACAGGACUUGCAGAGACAAGUUUCACAAACACUGUAUGAGGGGAGCAGAGCCCCCUUUGCUCUUGACUGCGCUCUGACCGUGCAGCCAUCACAGGCCUGUAAGAGACCCUCCAGCCCUGCCUACGCUUUCAGGGCACCCGUCACAAAGAACUGUAGCCCAGUAAAGACGAGAGGGGCCGAGACACCGCGGCGUGAGGCGCCAGCACGACACAGAAAAGGGCUUCACGCAGCUCCCAGAUCCGGGCGCCUUCUCUUCUUUAUAAUGUGUGUAGCUGCUCAAAUAAACAACCACAACAUUA